RNAcentral lists this ribosomal RNA (382 nucleotides) under uncultured eukaryote. RNAcentral's name for it is "partial 18S ribosomal RNA". It matches the Rfam family "Eukaryotic small subunit ribosomal RNA", at positions 592 to 976 of the family's 1831-position model. The record is from RNAcentral.
UGUAAGCGUAUACCAAAGUUGUUGCAGUUAAAACGCUCGUAGUCGGACUUUGGCAGUUCCGGAUGUGUGCACGUCGUGUGCGCACUUCGCGGGGAUUGCUUUUGUGGUCUUGCGUAGGAUGAGGCACUUUUAUUAGUGAACGUCCUCACGCAACCACUUUUUACUGUGAGAAAAUCAGAGUGCUCAAAGCAGGCAUUUGCCGUGAAUGCAUUAGCAUGGAAUAAUAGAAUAGGACUUGGUUCUAUUUUGUUGGUUUGUUGGGACUGAGUAAUGAUUAAGAGGGACAGUUGGGGGCAUUUGUAUUUCGGUGCUAGAGGUGAAAUUCUUAGAUUACCGAAAGACAAACUGCUGCGAAAGCGUCUGCCAAGGAUGUUUUCAUUGA